Molecule: ribosomal RNA, 253 nt
Filed under: uncultured bacterium
Lineage: Bacteria
Description: partial 16S ribosomal RNA
Rfam family: Bacterial small subunit ribosomal RNA
Source: RNAcentral
UACGUAGGGUGCGAGCGUUGUCCGGAAUUAUUGGGCGUAAAGAGCUCGUAGGCGGCUCGUCGCGUCGACCGUGAAAACCCGCGGCUUAACUGCGGGCUUGCGGUUGAUACGGGCGGGCUAGAGUUCGGUAGGGGAGACUGGAAUUCCUGGUGUAGCGGUGAAAUGCGCAGAUAUCAGGAGGAACACCGGUGGCGAAGGCGGUUCUCUGGGCAUUACCUGACGCUGAGGAGCGAAAGUGUGGGGAGCGAACAGG